UGCAGGGAUCAUCAAGGUGCUUCUCGAAAAUUUAGCUUUCCUGAUUUCACAUAUCCCAAAAUUUUCCUUAAGCUAUACUAUGAAAACAAGUGGCCGCAAAAUGAAUAGGGAGCGAUUAUCUGGGCAAACAAAUGGAAGACAACUGACCAGAUUGAAUGGGGAGUAAUUAUCUUCGUACAUUUUACUUAAACCCUUCAGUUUAUGUCUGGGCACGAUUCAAAGCAUGCUUGUUAAUUAGAUAAAGAAGUCAAGUGCCAUGAACAUAUAACUAACUAUUUUACCACUUGUAUAGAAAUACAACUGAAUUAUUUUACCAUUUGUUCCUUGCAUCUGCAUGCAGUUCUCUGAGAGUGAUCCUGGUGACCCUGAGCUUGAUAUGUCAUCUAUUUCCUCUUCACUACAAGCAGAAGAGCCAUCAGUUCCAGCAACCUUUUGUCCAACUUCUAGCCUUUGGUUAUCAUGAGCCAAGACAAGCGGCUUCACAUCAGAAGUUAUGCGUUUGCUUCAGGAGGCCAGUAUUUUGACUGCACUCGAUAUCGAGAACACAGGCGUUAUAGUGGGAUUCCUAAGGGAUACAUACCUAUCAGGAGACCACAUGUUCAAAGAUAUAUGCCUAGGUCUUGUUAAUCGAAACACUGAACAAAGACUUAUUCCUGUAAGAACAUCAAAAGCUGGUUAAAAUGCCGAUGCACUCUCCAACCAUGAUCAGCGAACAUUUGCGUUUGACGAAGUUCCUCUGCACAUUCUCCAUCGGGUUCCUGCCCAGCUUCAAGGUAGUGUAUUUUCCAGAACUAAUACAAUGUGCUUCUCAGAAUCACAGGCUCACCAGUAUCAUGCAACAUCCUCGGUAUCAAAGAAAUUUACCCCUGCUCUGAUUGAAGUGGUCGAUGAUUUACUUGUUUUGUCGAAUGGUCACAUAUAUCCACUCUACAAGAAACAAAAGGGAGUGUUUUCUUGGAUACAAGAAUUUUUAAGUGUUUGCAGCAAAAUGUCUUUUUAUGAUGUUUUCAACUUAUAUCGGCUGUUCCCCCACCCCCUCUGUGUGUGUGUGUGUGAGUGUCCGCGCAUGAGAGAGAUAUAUGGGAGCUUGGUUGAAGCUGGUGUUGUGGCUAUAUACUAAACCAUAUGCUGUUUAUCUUUGCAGGUUCGAUGUGCCUUUUCA
Nicotiana tabacum (common tobacco) is the source of this 1162-nucleotide non-coding RNA. NCBI's taxonomy places the organism in Eukaryota, Viridiplantae, Streptophyta, Magnoliopsida, Solanales, Solanaceae. The record is from RefSeq and is a predicted model, not a curated record.